GGGAUGGUGGAAAGUGGCGGACUGGUGAGUAACACGUGGGUAAUCUACCAUGAAGUGAGGAAUAGCCCUUCUAACGGAGGGAUAAUACCACAUACGGUCUUGUCUUCACAUGGAGACUUGAUCAAAGAGGGGGAUCUUCGGACCUCUCGCUUUUUGAUGAACCCGCGCCCCAUUAGCUAGUUGGUAAGGUAACGGCUUACCAAGGCUCCGAUGGGUAGCCGGCCUGAGAGGGUGACCGGCCACACUGGGACUGAGAUACUGCCCAGACUCCUACGGGAGGCAGCAGGCGGGAAUAUUGAACAAUGCACGAAAGUGUGAUUCAGCGACGCCGCGUGAGGGAUUGACGCUCCUCGGAGUGUAAACCUCGAACGAAUAAGGACGAAGGAUAUACGGUCAAUACCCGUAUGUCUUGACGGUACUUAUUACGAAGCUCCGGCUAACUCCGUGCCAGCAGCCGCGGUAAUACGGGGGGAGCUAGCGUUGUUCGGAAUUACUGGGCGUAAAGGGCUUCUAGGCGGAUUGACAAGUCAGAGGUGAAAACUAUCGGCUCAACUGGUAGCUUGCCCUUGAAACUGUCAGUCUUGAAUGCGGAAGAUGUGCGGGGAAUUCACAGUGUAGCGGUGAAAUGCGUAGAUAUUGUGAAGAACACCGGAGGCGAAGGCGCCGCACUGGUCUAGCAUUGACGCUGAAGAGCGAAAGCGUGGGUAGCAAACAGGAUUAGAUACCCUGGUAGUCCACGCCGUAAACGAUGGAUACUAGGUGUGGGAGGUUUUACCUCUCGUGCCGAAGCUAACGCAUUAAGUAUCCCGCCUGGGGAGUACGGUCGCAAGGCUGAAACUAAAAGGAAUUGACGGGGCCCCGCACAAGCGGUGGAGCAUGAUGCUUAAUUCGAUGAUACGCGAAGAACCUUACCCGGGUUUGACAUGCCCCUGACAGCUCUGGAGACAGAGUUUUCCUUCGGGACAGGGGACACAGGUGCUGCAUGGCUGUCGUCAGCUCGUGUCGUGAGAUGUUGGGUUAAGUCCCGCAACGAGCGCAACCCUUGCUAUUAGUUGCCAUCUGGUAAUGCUGGGCACUCUAAUAGGACUGCCGGUGAUAAAUCGGAGGAAGGUGGGGAUGACGUCAAGUCCUCAUGGCCCUUACAUCCGGGGCUGCAAUCGUGCUACAAUGGACGGUACAGAGAGCCGCAAGACCGCGAGGUGGAGCAAAUCUCAAAAAGCCGUCCUCAGUUCGGAUUGGAGUCUGCAACUCGACUCCAUGAAGUCGGAAUCGCUAGUAAUCGUAGAUCAGAACGCUACGGUGAAUACGUUCCCGGGGCUUGUACACACCGCCCGUCAAGCGAUGAAAGCCGGGGGUGCCCGAAGUCGUUGCUCUAACCUUAGGGAAGAGCGCGCCGAAGGUAAACUCGGUGAUUGGCGCUAAGUCGAAACAAGGCA
RNAcentral lists this ribosomal RNA (1436 nucleotides) under metagenome. RNAcentral describes it as "bacterial SSU rRNA". It matches the Rfam family "Bacterial small subunit ribosomal RNA". The record is from RNAcentral.